GGCAUAAGCCCGCUUGACUGCGAGAAUGACAAUUCGAGCAGGUGCGAAAGCAGGUCAUAGUGAUCCGGUGGUUCUGAAUGGAAGGGCCAUCGCUCAACGGAUAAAAGGUACUCCGGGGAUAACAGGCUGAUACCGCCCAAGAGUUCAUAUCGACGGCGGUGUUUGGCACCUCGAUGUCGGCUCAUCACAUCCUGGGGCUGAAGUCGGUCCCAAGGGUAUGGCUGUUCGCCAUUUAAAGUGGUACGCGAGCUGGGUUUAGAACGUCGUGAGACAGUUCGGUCCCUAUCUGCCGUGGGCGUUGGAAGAUUGAAGGGGGCUGCUCCUAGUACGAGAGGACCGGAGUGGACGAACCUCUGGUGUUCGGGUUGUGUCGCCAGACGCAUUGCCCGGUAGCUAAGUUCGGAAUCGAUAACCGCUGAAAGCAUCUAAGCGGGAAGCGAGCCCUGAGAUGAGUCUUCCCUGAUACUUUAAGUAUCCUAAAGGGUUGUCGGAGACUACGACGUUGAUAGGUCAGGUGUGUAAGUGCUGUGAGGCAUUGAGCUAACUGAUACUAAUUGCCCGUGAGGCUUAACCAUACAACACCCAAGGGGUUU
Molecule: ribosomal RNA, 593 nt
Filed under: Vibrio parahaemolyticus
Lineage: Bacteria; Pseudomonadati; Pseudomonadota; Gammaproteobacteria; Vibrionales; Vibrionaceae
Description: partial 23S ribosomal RNA
Rfam family: Bacterial large subunit ribosomal RNA
Source: RNAcentral